RNAcentral lists this long non-coding RNA (543 nucleotides) under Sinocyclocheilus anshuiensis. RNAcentral's name for it is "lncRNA (ENSSANG00000051776.1)". Lineage: Eukaryota; Metazoa; Chordata; Actinopteri; Cypriniformes; Cyprinidae. The record is from RNAcentral.
UGUAGUUCAAACAUUUUUACUGUUUACUGCACUUUGAUAUUCUCGUUAUUUCCCUACAGCGGCUAAUGAACCGGAAGUCUCGCAUACUCACAGAAAACAGCAUACUUCUGCAUUGAAAACUAAGGAGGAUAAAGCGUGUAGGUCAUUACAGGACAGCAGUGAGUAAGCCAAUCAGUUGAGGGGAAGCAUCUCAUGUUUAAAAUGGCUGUGAUAUCCAAGAGAAGGCAUCAACAGACAGCUAUGUAAGAGUCUAGUGUGAACGUGCAAGCUAACUUUUGGCAAGAAGACAGUGACCCACAGGACCGAGUCAAAACUGGAGCACUCAAUAUAUCUUGAAGGAAAAUAUACCGGGAUCUGUAGGGGGCAGAGAGAAAGACAGAGACGAAGAGAGCACAUUAUCACACAUAGUCAAAAGAUCUCCAAAUGCUUCGGGUCCCAUAUUAGAUGAAGUAAAUCUGUGAGUGGAGUGACUUUAUCUGUCAGUGAAAGAGAAAGGUAGGGAAAGCAUGCACAUUGACCGAUGGUUCAUGUUCAGUUGUGUUG